Molecule: transfer-messenger RNA, 356 nt
Filed under: Candidatus Rokuibacteriota bacterium
Lineage: Bacteria; Candidatus Rokuibacteriota
Description: Candidatus Rokubacteria bacterium transfer-messenger RNA
Rfam family: transfer-messenger RNA
About the family: Bacterial tmRNA, also known as 10Sa RNA or SsrA, is named for its dual tRNA and mRNA-like properties.
Source: RNAcentral
GGGGGCGACCGGUUUCGACGGGGAUCGUGACGUUCAGGGCUGCACCUCGAGGGCGCCCAUCACCUCGUCAAAAGGUGGGUCGGCUAUAGCUGCCGACAAAGAGCUAGCACUCGCCGCCUAACUAGCGGCGACGCCCGUCCACCCCGUGUCAGCGGGGGGCGGAGCCGGGUGUCAUAUUCCGCUGGCUGGCGUCGCGGACGGGCCUGGGUACCGCGGCGUGAGACUGCACAGGCUGGCCCUUUGCCGAUCCGGUCCGUGGGAGCGGUGAUGGGCGAGAACUAAAUCGCGGACUAUGGGUGUAGUGGCCCUGGACUGAGGGUUCUCGGACGUGGGUUCAAUUCCCACCGCCUCCACCA